GACGAACGCUGGCGGCGUGCUUAACACAUGCAAGUCGAACGGAAAGGCCUGCUUUCCCUUGUGGAUUGCGGGUACUCGAGUGGCGAACGGGUGAGUAACACGUGAGUGAUCUGCCCCCAACUUGGGUAUAAGCCUGGGAAACUGGGUCUAAUUCCCGAUAGGACUGCAGGGUGGUGCCUGUGGUGGAAAACGAUUUUCUAGUGGUUGGGGAUGAGCUCGCGGCCUAUCAGCUUGUUGGUGGGGUAAUGGCCUACCAAGGCGGCGACGGGUAGCCGGCCUGAGAGGGUGGACGGCCACAUUGGGACUGAGAUACGGCCCAGACUCCUACGGGAGGCAGCAGUGGGGAAUAUUGCACAAUGGGCGGAAGCCUGAUGCAGCGACGCCGCGUGGGGGAUGACGGCCUUCGGGUUGUAACCUCCUUUCGACCGCGAGGAAGCCACCUGGUUGGAAGGGUGGUGACGGUAGUGGUAGAAGAAGCACCGGCUAACUACGUG
This 494-nucleotide ribosomal RNA is filed under the name uncultured bacterium. Its description in RNAcentral is "partial 16S ribosomal RNA". It matches the Rfam family "Bacterial small subunit ribosomal RNA", at positions 28 to 507 of the family's 1533-position model. The record is from RNAcentral.